AAAGGAAUUGACGGGGCCCGCACAAGCGGUGGAUUAUGUGGAUUAAUCGAUGCAACGCGAAAACCUUACCUACCCUUGACAUGCUAGGAACUUGCCAGAGAUGGCUUGGUGCCCGAAAGGGAACCUAGACACAGGUGCUGCAUGGCUGUCGUCAGCUCGUGUCGUGAGAUGUUGGGUUAAGUCCCGCAACGAGCGCAACCCUUGUCAUUAAUUGCCAUCAUUCAGUUGGGCACUUUAAUGAGACUGCCGGUGACAAACCGGAGGAAGGUGGGGAUGACGUCAAGUCCUCAUGGCCCUUAUGGGUAGGGCUUCACACGUAAUACAAUGGUCGGUACAGAGGGUUGCCAACCCGCGAGGGGGAGCCAAUCCCAGAAAACCGAUCGUAGUCCGGAUUGCAGUCUGCAACUCGACUGCAUGAAGUCGGAAUCGCUAGUAAUCGCGGAUCAGCAUGUCGCGGUGAAUACGUUCCCGGGCCUU
This 477-nucleotide ribosomal RNA is filed under the name uncultured Thiobacillus sp. RNAcentral describes it as "bacterial SSU rRNA". It matches the Rfam family "Bacterial small subunit ribosomal RNA", at positions 903 to 1382 of the family's 1533-position model. The record is from RNAcentral. Lineage: Bacteria; Pseudomonadati; Pseudomonadota; Betaproteobacteria; Nitrosomonadales; Thiobacillaceae.